UCAUACACUGGCCAACUGGCCAUUAUAAAUUAAAUUUUAUUUGUGGUCAAACACCGUGAAAAAUACGCGCUAAAUAUGAGGUGAUAAAAUCUACAAGAUUCAGUGAAUGUUUCAGGUAAAGGACAUGGCUCAUUGUCAUUACUUAACAUAUCUUCAUUCUAUUCUGUGUCUGAUUGAAUUAACGAUGCCUAAGUACUUUAAAAGAUAGAAAAACUGUUAAUAAUUAUUGACAUUCUGACUUUGUUUAUGGUGUCAUUAAAUUUGCAAGUUGUAAUUACCGGUAAUAGGGCCUAUAGGCUGUAUGCCACUAUGUAAAUUGAAAAAAAAAUACGUUUGCUGAUCAAUGCCCCACCUUCAAAUGAAAAGUGUCUCGGAAAUGAGUCUAAAAAUUAUGGCAUGUAUGGUCAUUGUAUUGACGGCAAAAACAACGGAAUUACACGAAAUUAUGAGAAUCGAGCACAUGUUGCUGACGUAGUACACUGGUUUAUUGCGUAGUACACAGAUUUAUUACGUAGUACACAGGUCUAUUAAGCGCGCAAUAUUCAAUAUUCAAAGACGGCAAAAACUUCGUCUCAUAUCUAAUAUCAUCUCCCCAAUAAAGACAUACAACAAGAAAAGUGAAAUUGCUCAAGCAAAUUAUCAGAAGAAGACCUUCAAAGCUGCAAUCGGUGAAAUUCACUGUCCUGCUGACAGUGUCAAAUGUGAAAGUGAAUCGAAAAUGCAGGAACUGCUGGGGGUUGUGUGGUUGAGGCUAGAUCUGACGGAUGGGAGGAUGAGUGCAGAAGCCUGCGUAGAAAGAUUCGACGCAUGGAGGAGCCAAUUACUGCUUUAGAGAGUCAGAAUACAAAAGUGGAGGACCCCGAAUUAUAAGCUGUGGAACAUCUUAGUGAUACUCAAGAAGUCUUGGUUACAAUAGCAAAGACUAUCUUCACUGUGGAGGAACUUAGAACCCACUCUAGGACUGGAAAGAUGACCAAUAAGUGUAAGGAUUCCCCGAGACCACCACUUGAACCCUCGAAACUGAGCAAUCUUGAAAGACUAGUGAGGAGGAAAACCGGUGUAUCAAAAGAAGUAUUUAAUAAAAAACUAGAGACUUUGCAAAAGGUCAUCAGAAGGAAAUAAAUCACAAAAUAAGUGAAACAUUGGAAACUGUUCUAAUUUCAAGUUCUUGAUUUUUGCACUU
Long non-coding RNA from Ruditapes philippinarum (Manila clam), 1183 nucleotides. RefSeq lists it as uncharacterized. The transcript is spliced from 3 exons. The record is from RefSeq and is a predicted model, not a curated record. NCBI's taxonomy places the organism in Eukaryota, Metazoa, Mollusca, Bivalvia, Venerida, Veneridae.